GAUGAACGCUGGCGGUAUGCCUAACACAUGCAAGUCGUACGAGGGUUUUUAACUCUAGUGGCGGACGGGUGAGUAACACGUGAGAAUUUGCCUUUAGGAGGGGGAUAACAAUUGGAAACGAAUGCUAAUACCCCAUAUGCUUUCGAGUGAAACGGAUUUAUCCGCCUAGAGAGAAGCUCGCGGCUGAUUAGCUUGUUGGUAAGGUAAGAGCUUACCAAGGCGACGAUCAGUAUCUGGUUUGAGAGGACGAUCAGACACACUGGAACUGAGACACGGUCCAGACUCCUACGGGAGGCAGCAGUGGGGAAUUUUCCGCAAUGGGCGAAAGCCUGACGGAGCAAUACCGCGUGAGGGAAGACUGCCUAUGGGUUGUAAACCUCUUUUUUCAGGGAGGAAUAAAUGACGUGUACCUGAAGAAUAAGCAUCGGCUAACUCCGUG
RNAcentral lists this ribosomal RNA (439 nucleotides) under uncultured bacterium. Its description in RNAcentral is "bacterial SSU rRNA". It matches the Rfam family "Bacterial small subunit ribosomal RNA", at positions 28 to 507 of the family's 1533-position model. The record is from RNAcentral.